Molecule: unclassified non-coding RNA, 628 nt
Filed under: Mesorhizobium sp. LCM 3755
Lineage: Bacteria; Pseudomonadati; Pseudomonadota; Alphaproteobacteria; Hyphomicrobiales; Phyllobacteriaceae
Description: partial 16S-23S ribosomal RNA intergenic spacer
Rfam family: Bacterial large subunit ribosomal RNA (bases 495-628)
Source: RNAcentral
GUCGGAGGUUCAGUCCUCCCAGGCCCACCACUUCGCAAUCCGCAAGGAUUGUCGGAUCUCCUCGAUAUCCGUCGGGAAACACUAUCAGGGGCCGUAGCUCAGCUGGGAGAGCGCCUGCUUUGCAAGCAGGAUGUCGUCGGUUCGAUCCCGUCCGGCUCCACCAACCAUCUUCUGUGAAGGUGGGGCGUGUCGAGUAGAGGAUGAUCGCCCGCGGUCAGUCAUUCGAAAAAGAGUUUGCGGCGCGCUUCGUGCUCUCCGCCUGUUCUGUUUGACAUCGUAAAGAGAAGAUUUGUUCGAACUUCACGGCUGCAAGGCUGUGAUUUGUCGCAAGGACGCUCAAUCCCUUGCCUAUGAUGGGUUUGCCUAACCGCGCCCUCGAACGGAUCUCGAGAAGCUGGUCUUUUUGUGCCAAUUCCAUUGAAGCAAGCCCCGCACAGGGUUUUGCUCAGGCGGCGAUCCUUCGGAUCGCGCAGAUGGGUAUUGGCAAUGAGAACGAUCAAGUGUCUUAAGGGCAAUUGGUGGAUGCCUUGGCAUGCACAGGCGAUGAAGGACGUGAUACGCUGCGAUAAGCUACGGGGAGGUGCGAAUACCCUUUGAUCCGUAGAUCUCCGAAUGGGAAAAACCCCGG